UUUUGGAAAACGGAAUCGAUCGGAGAAACGCCGUGUACGGCGGGGAUUUGAUGGUGUGUUUUGUUAAACGCAGCGUUUCAUGGAGUUGAAGAUUUGGUGUUGGAGUAGUGGUAGUAGUAGUAGUGGUGGUAUCAGUAGAAGUAAUACUUGUACUUUUCUCAGUGUUCAUUCUAAAUCCAGCUCUUCAACUAAGCUCAGAUUUGCUAUAUUGUUUUCCCAGGUCCUAUUUAUACUAUUGUGUUUAGAGACCAGUUUAGCAACUUUCUCGGAUCAUCAAUUAUUGAGACAAGACUUUGAGAAUGAAGACAAGAGUACCAUUUCACAUUCUUGUAUCCAUGAUCAGAUAAUUGAACAAAGGAAAAGACCUGGUUUGCAAGUGUAUUCCGUCACUCCUCAGGUGUAUGAGGAGUCUGUGGCUUCAGAUCCCCCUCACCGUAGAGGAAGGGCAUUACUUGAAAUUUCCAAAGAACAAAAUGAUGUCAUGCAACCGAUCCGAAUCUUUUUGAAUUAUGAUGCUGUCGGUCAUUCAUCUGAGAGAGAUUGUCAAAAAGUCGGCGACAUUGUGAAGCUUGGGGAGCCACCAGGUGCUUCUUUUUCUGGUACGUCUUCUUGUAAUCCACAUGGAGAUCCUCCAGUUUAUGGUGAUUGCUGGUAUAACUGUACCUUAGAUGAUAUAGCUGGGGAGGACAAAAGGCAUCGCCUUCGCAAGGCCCUCGAGCAGACAGCGGAUUGGUUUAAAAGAGCGUUAUCUGUUGAGCCAGUUAAGGGAAACCUGAGGUUAAGUGGAUAUUCUGCUUGUG
This 800-nucleotide unclassified non-coding RNA is filed under the name Hevea brasiliensis (rubber tree). The record is from RNAcentral. Lineage: Eukaryota; Viridiplantae; Streptophyta; Magnoliopsida; Malpighiales; Euphorbiaceae.